This 1092-nucleotide long non-coding RNA is filed under the name Equus caballus (horse). Its description in RNAcentral is "lncRNA (ENSECAG00000057505.1)". Lineage: Eukaryota; Metazoa; Chordata; Mammalia; Perissodactyla; Equidae. The record is from RNAcentral.
AUAAUCUCAAGGCAAACUGAGGGAGGGAGUCGGAAAACAGAUGGUGUCCAUCUUCACUCGGCAAGUGUUAAACACAGACUAGUGAUUGUCUUAUAAACGUUCGAGACGGCCCUGUCCUGGAAGCUGGUGCAGCCCUGUCGCUGCUGCCAUGGCAACUGCCUGGCCCUCCCUCCAGCCUGUGACCGCUGGAGCGUGACUCCCACCACGGCUCUGGGAAGCCCAGUUUCACACUGUGUUGCAGUCUCUGGACAUCCUAAGGGGAGCCGUGUCUUCUGCAGCUAUUUGGGGUCUGAAGCCAUUGCUCUGCGUAGGUGCUGCUCAGAGGAUUCCGGUUGCUUCCUUGGGCUGGGUGCUCAUGUAUCCUAGGGGUGUGAUGUUUCCUGUUCCUCUGUCAUUGUGUGACUCCUACGGUGGAAAAAUUAACUAUAGGCAUGGAGGCACACUGGAGAUGUGAAGGCGAGGCUCCUGGCUUUGUGUUGAUGUUGGAUCCUGUUGCUUCCGCUGGUGAGGAUGUAAAUGAAUUCACAACGGUUAACACCUCCCAGCUCACGGGCCUUCUGUUUUCUUCUCACCACAUCGAUCCGAUGUUUGUGGUCUCUCAGUCUCUCGCAGGCGUUCGCCUCAGAUGCCCCAGCACCAAGGAGCCCUUGGGUGGGAAUGGUGCAAGGUACAGCCCAGAGGCACACACUCGGCCUCAGGGACAUGCUCCACAGGAAGAAUUCCAGCCCAGAGCUCACUCCAUCUGCCACACAAUGGGCCGUCCACCACCUGACCCCUGGUAGUGAGGACCAACACCAGGCAAAGCAGUUGCCAUCACGUGUGGCCAGUUUAUCAAGCCCUCUGAGGUCACCCUCGCUCUUGCUCGUUGGUUUUCCUCCUUGGAUUCAACUUUCUGUUAUUGCUUUUGUUCAGAAAGCCCUUACUAAAGACGUGGCCAUGUUCGGUGUUUGAGCAGAAUAUCUCUGCUUUGAAAUUGCAGUUCGAUUCCACGCUUUUCUUACGACAUUCAUUUACACAGAAAGGAAACGUACAGAUGCAUAUGUAUAUGUAGCAGGAAGAAAAUUUGCUAUUUUGAGGCUUGACAGAAAAGAG